Molecule: non-coding RNA, 694 nt
Organism: Cicer arietinum (chickpea)
Lineage: Eukaryota; Viridiplantae; Streptophyta; Magnoliopsida; Fabales; Fabaceae
Source: RefSeq, a predicted model, not a curated record
CUCUCUUAGUUAAAUUAUAUAAAAAAAUUAAUGUUUUUCAUUGAUGUAUCAAUACCUUAAUUUAAAAAAAAAAUACCAUAUCACAUACUCGUACCAGUACCUGAUACUAGUACCGUACCUAUGCGUCAUAGAUCUUAUGCUCAUACAAUUUUCAUGCCACUGUAUUGAUGUUACCAUAUAUUUCCUCUGAUUAUGAUAUCAUUGUGCAAACAUAUCGGUCUAUGAACAGGAGUUUGAAGUAGAGGUUGUGUCGUUGGGUUGGGCUCUAUGCUCACUAAGUUUGAUUCUGAUUUGCAACGGAAGAUUAGGUGCACAUGCUUGAAGUGUGGUAAUGAGUAACGGUACCUGGUCGCAUGUGCAAGAGCGAAGUGAUUGUUAUAUUUUUUUUUUAGUUUUCCUACUUUUUGGUCGCAUGUGCAAAAGUGAAGUGGUAAUUAUAUUUUUUUACCUUUCUUACUUUCAUUUCUACGGGUCAAGUGGAAAUCAUAUUCUUUGGUUGCUCGUUGCUCAUUCAGGUUAGGACUAAAACUAAAACCUUUGGAUUCUCACUCAUUUUAAACAUGUUUUAUGUUUUGUGUCUACCUAAUCCAACAUGCCUUAAAUUAUUUAGUACUUGGGUUACACAUUAUAUUAAAGGUUUUGUCUAUGGGUUUGAAGUCGGACACAUAAGAUUUUGUCUCUGAGAGUUAAACUA